Molecule: non-coding RNA, 6184 nt
Organism: Taeniopygia guttata (zebra finch)
Lineage: Eukaryota; Metazoa; Chordata; Aves; Passeriformes; Estrildidae
Source: RefSeq, a predicted model, not a curated record
GAAAGCAUGUUUCCAAAGAAAAUAAACAAAUCUAAAAAACAGAAAACAGAAAAAUCCCAACUGUCUGCUCUUCCUUAGUCCAGGAUAUUUUUCUACAAAAUUAUCUGUUUAGAAGAUUCAAUGGCAACUCUGCUUUAGACUAAAGCAAGGUCUGUACACUGUGAUGAUCGGAGUCAUGAGGAACAAGUAACCUCUCAGCUUUCCAAAGAGAAGCUGUAAUGCCUCAUGUUCCUUGCCAAAAGUCACAGUUCAGGAACAGAACACAGCUCACACCUAGGUCUCCAAUAAGGCAGAAGAUGCAUUAAGAGAAAAGCAAACUUUUAAGAAUAAUCACACAAAGAAACAUGGUUCCAACAUAAAAUGAUGGAUAAUAAAGGGCCUGAAAUGUGAAUGCACUAAAAACACACAAAGCAAUCAUGGCCACAUGGCUACUUGUGCAGAAAUAGUCAUAGUGCUGUGUUAGUGUGAGGGCAACAGAAUCCUGCAAAGGCAAGAAAGUUGAGGGAGAAAAAACCAAAAUGGGAGUAGCGCAGAACAUACAGACAAGAAUGCCUGUUCUGACACACCACAGGAGGAUGCAUCCUGGGGGAAGGAAAUGGGAAGAAGGAGUUAAAGAAAAAAAUUCCAUCUCAGGAGAAGGGAAAGGCACUGCUUCCCAAAGCUUUAGCAGAUCUUUCCUUCAUUAAUAUUUACAAAGCUUUUAGAGAUUCUCAGAUGGAGGGCACUGCAGAUAUGACAGGAAUUAUUACAGACCUGAAAAGAUCUAGCAAACAGACUGAGAAGGACUUCAAGUAAAUAAAGGGGGAUGACAUUAGUGAGCACACUGAAACAGGGGUUGCUGCUGGCAUAUGAACCAUCUGGUGCAUGGCAGUCCAUUUCAUUUACUUACUUACCCACUACCGGGCACGCAUGCCCAGUGCACGUCAUUAUGCUUUUGCCACCAAAAUAAUGCUUUUAUUCAGGACCACUACCUUUCUUCUUUGUAUCACUCCACUCUUCAAAACUGCCAUUCGGUAAAGCAGCCUGUGCCUAAGGAAUGCUUGCGUUAGGAAGAGGCUUACAUGUGGAAUGAAGAACUUGGGAUGUUGACAGACACCUUUUGAGAUAUAGUGGUCUUGUUUGCCUUUACUUGAAUUUGGAUAGGAAGCUGUUUUUCAGGGAUGUUAAGCUCCCCACUGCCACCAGGACGUUUAAGUUUUUGUUGGACUAUCAUUUGUGCUGUUGACUUGGGUACUCAGCAAAAGACAGCUUCAGCAUGAUUUUCAGCAAUAAAGCAAAUGUCUCUAAUAGAAUUGUAGAUUUCAGCAUAACUGAGAAACAAAACACAUGGUAGUCACAAGAUGAACACAAAAAAAUACUGACGGGCUAAAUUAAGCACAGGAGACACUAAAUUAAGCACAGAAGAAGGGGUCAGGUGGCUGGUUUACACAGGAUUCUUAAAUUUUCUCAAGGGCAUCAUAUAAAGCAAGAUGAGGCACAAACCCCAGGACUGUCACUGCCUCAGUCUAAAGCACUAGAAAACCAAGUGAAUCUUGGAAGCAGAUAGCAGGAAAGCAUAUUUGCCUUUCCUCAUACACCUGUCUCCUCCAACUUACCAAAAGACCCAGUGGAAAGGGAACACACAGCCAAUGUUAGAAGAGUAAGGGGAGCCCAUCAUUUACUGGAAGACCUAGCAAAGCAUCCACCUGUCCAGGCCUUGGCAGCUAUCGCCUUAGCGGGUGCUUCCCCAGGAGCCGAGCACCUUAUGAACACCUUGCAGCUCCCGGCUGCCCGGGAGCUGAGCAUCUCGGCCCUUUGGCUUCUCCAUCCCUGUCAGGGAAGGAGGGGCCGAGCACAGCUCUGCGCCCAUGCGGGGCACGCUGGAGCUUCGCGGGCACCGCGUUCUCGGGGCACUUGGAGGACGUGGACAGCAGCGAGGGACGGCGGCGUCCGGCGCCCGCGGAGACCGAGCGGCGGCGGGGCGGGGAAGGCGCCCGGGGCUGCGCGCGGGGCCGGGGCCGCUCCGGAGGGAGGCGGCGCAGGUCGGCCGCCCUUGCCGGGCUAGGCGGCACCUCCGGGCCCGCCGGGAAGUUGCCGAUGGAAGCCUCCGGGCAGCUCCUGCCGCCUGCCCCGCCGCGGGCGGGGGCGGCAGCCGCGGCCCGGCUCCCGGCACCUAGCGCGGGGCAGCCGCGGCGCGGCGGGCGGGCGGGCCGAGGGGCGCGGGGCCGGGGAUGCCCCGCGGCGAGACCGAGGCAGCGGACGGCAGAGCGGCCCCGCCACGGACACUGCCGGCCCGCCGGACCGGGCCGGGGCGGCUCCGCCGCGGCGCAGGGUUUCGGUGGUCUCAGACUUGCAGGCUGACGGCUCCAGGAUAAAUCCGACCUCUCCCUGUCCCACUCCACCGCGCCCCGUUGCCGGCCUGAGGAGUUUGUCCGCAGGGAAAGAAAAAGGCACGCACAGCACCGGGAACUAUCAGUCAGCACCUCACCCUCGAGUCAGGCCCUCAGUUUUUGUCCGUCUUACCCACUCUGACAAGUCCUACAACAAACCCCAAAAACGAAGGAGAUAGGGACGCAGUAGCAGAGCCAUUGCUUCAGGUCUCCAGAAAUCUUACACCAAACAGCCUGCUGCUCCCAGAUCUGUCCUGGAAGCCAGCUGUGGGCUUGUGCAUUUUUCAGUUUUAUUUUGAGAUAUCAGAAAGGUUUUUAAGUUGGUUUUUUUUUUCAUUCAGAAGUAGAUAUUUAUUUCACUUUAAUGUAUCAGAAAAUAUUAACUAGCCACAAACAGUCUACUCUAUUCACCAAAGUUAUGUCAUUAUUAAAAUCAAGAGAACAGCAAAGGAACUGAGUAUACAAGGGCAAACCCAGAUAGGGCACAAAAACAGUGCCACGAGUUCUUUUUGUUUGUUAGCACUGGCUAAUGUGGCUAAUAAGUGUUAUUUGUGACAGGUUAUUUCUGCAAAACAAACCUCAAAUUAGAGUGCAAGAUUAUACCUAAUGCAAGUGAAUAUGGUCUUCACAAACCCCAAGAAUUUUGACAUUCUUAAGAUAUCUAAAUUAAUUAAAAACUAGGUCUUCAUUAUUUAUUUUAUGAAAGAAUCUCAGAACCUAUAAGAAAUGUCUUGAAGCCCAACUUUUUCCAUAAACCUUUUUAAUAACCAACUUUUCCCCGAAGACCUGACUCGUUGUUUGCUCUCAUAAGCACUUGAACUAUUAGCCUUUGUGCUGUACAUGAGUGCAGAUACAAGUGUCCUGGAGCAGCAGCCUUGUCGUUCCUAUGUUUGCAAAGUGGUAGGCAUACUCACAGUGCAUUAUAAGUGAAAAAAUUGAGAGGAUGUGCUGGUCCUCCCGAGUGCAAUACCUGAUCCCAUAUGCUGGCAGAAUGGACUGAUGCUCACAUGCUUUCUGUGGAGAAAACAGGAUAUUCGUAGAUAUCACAAUUUUCAAACAUAUGUAAUACACACAUACAGCCUUCAAUGCAUAAUAAGCUUCUGUGAUUUUGAUAACAUUUUGUAUUAAGCUUAUGUAUUCAAAUAUUAGUAAUUUAUUUGACUGUGACAAUAUUUGGAGAUAUGUUGGAGUAAUUACCUGGCUAAUGCAUAUGUGAAGCAGUGCUUUCUUGUUUAGAAUGAGCUGGGAGCCACAGAGGGAAUAAAUCAAGGCGCAGAGUUAAAAGUAGCAUGGACAUGGGGCACUGGAGUCCUAUCCCCAUUAGUAUGCUGAAUUUCUGACUGGUAACUACAUUUCAGCUCUGGACCCUGAGGACAUCCCCGGUGAUGGGGUGAUCAUUUAAUCAAUUUUACUAAGCCUUUUAAACAGCCCUGUAGUUUUUAAUUACAACUUCAUGCCUGCUGAAGAACAGCAGAAUUAUGGCUGUGACUAGAUAGCAAAUAAGGCAUGACAGAUGUUUAAAGGUGUAGUGUGUGAUACCUAAUAGCUAGUGAAACAUAAUAUUUAACAGUAUCUAAAACCAUCAGAAACUUAACAAAUUCUGGUCAAAAGUAGACAAAUUGUAAUUUAGUGUAUGUUGUUCAUCAGAGAAAAGAGCCUGUGAAUUGAUUCAAGGGGUUGUGUGAAUUGAUUGAAUUAAUCUAUGGUAAAGUACAAUCUGUUUUGAGAAGAGCUUUCAGAAGCAUCAGGUGAGAGUGAGCUAACUUUGUUAAAAUGCCCUGUUAAAUUAUAGUGUAGAAAAAGACCAUAUUUCUCUGCUUAGAAAGAGCUCUUUCUUGCUUUCUCUGCCUUACUGUCUUGCUUCUCAUUUUACCUUGCCUCACUUCAGAGAGAUUUCUUCUAAACUUUCUCUUAAAAGUGUAGCAAACCUCCUUUAAACUUGGUUUGUCACAGCCAUAGUCAGUUUGCUGUUUACUUUGCCCUAGGUCACCAGAUGAAAAGGCAAUACUGCCCAGAGGCUCCUUAGCCAUUCUAAUUAUUUCUGAAUAGGACUUCUGCCAGCUAACAUCAGAUGAAAGUACAGUUGAUGAAUGUUCAUCAACAGCAUUGCUCUACUGCAAGAGUUCUGAAGUAUAAACAAGAUGUUAGACUUGUAUACUUCACAUCAUCUAUCAUCAUUUUUCUCUUUUUAUUCCCCUUUCACCUUUCAGAAAUUCAACAGUUAUUUAGCUUUAAGCAACCCCUUGUGCUCCCAAAUCUUUUCUGUAAAACAGUGAAGUUCUCACUCAUCUUCAUCUGAUGAUCUUGUUAACGAGAUACUUCUGCCAUAUCAUUGUGACCCAAGAUUUUCAAGCACAAUUAUUUUUGGUGCCCAAACCACAUGCACAGGAGAAGUCUUCAGGAACAGUUUAAGAAACAUCUGAAAAUCGCUGACCUCAAGUCAGGCACCACGUGUCUCUGGCAGUAAAGAGCAGCACAGCCCAGACUGAAUAUUUUUGGUUGUGAUUUGCUCAGCUGAGUGGGCCUAAACUGUGAUGGUGAGAUAAAAACCAUUCAAAGUUUGUCAGCAAACCGAAGUAUGACAGAAACAGGACCAUACCAUCUGCCUAAAAUUUCAGUAUCUGGACUCUUAUUGCCUUGCAUAUUCCUGGGAAAGAGUACAUAGAAAUGGGUGUGUAUUUCAAAGGUAACUGUUGAAAAGUAUGUUGAGAUUGGGAAAAGGUGUGGGAGGUGUGGGACAAUACAGAUUUGAUACUGAUAGGGAAGGAGAAGUGGAGCUUUCCACUGCAGUGCCUCUGCCAGUAAGGAGGGCUGGAAGAAGAAAAGGGAAGGGCUGUAGAUGGUUUGCACACACUCUCAGCACACACCCCAGGUCAGGAGCUGCACUUGUUUGCUAAUGAAAAACAAUAAAGUUUUGUGGACACUGCAGUGAAGGAGGUAGGUGGAAAUUCAGGUGUGGAAGCAGUGCGUAGAAAAUUCCUUUACAAUUCCCCUCCCGUUGUCAGAAUCAGCCACAUAGCUGAAAAAAGAGCCUGAGGAAUAGUGGGUGCCAGGUCUGGAGUGAAAGGAGGAGGGUGUGGAGUUUUUCUGGAUUCUCUUUUUUUCUCUAGGAAGUGGCAUUUCCUAAGAAACCUGCUGAGACUCAUGCAAAUACAUUAAAGGCACAGAGAAAAAAUGCUGGGUGCAUAGCUGUUUGGUUGUGGUUUUUUUUUUUUUUUUUAAUUGAAUUUUUAACUCAUGUAAGCAUAUAAUGAGAAAAGGGGAGAAACAGACUUUUGGUAUAAGUCCCAUGCUCUGAUCCAUGGAAACAGAUUCUUGUGCUAGUGUGGAUCCAGGCUUACUACCAUAGAAAGACUCAAAGUAUGGUAGAUGUCAAAGUGUAAGGGCAAAUGUUCAGAAGGAGCAUUCUGGUGUCUGAGAAUGACUUCAGAAGAGCUAUUAGCAAGGAAAAUAUAGAUAAACAUGUUUAAAAUACAUGUAAUAUGAUUUUAAAUGUCACUAAGGCCAUGAAAUUUGGGCUUUACUAGUGUAAUAGUCUAAUUACAUAAUUAAUAUUCUUUGUGCAUACUGUUACUGAAAUAUACUUUGAGUAUUGUUUGUCUUACACACCUACAUUUCCUAAUUGUCAAAAAUAUUUUGCACGAUAAUCCAUAAUACUACAGAAAGUACAUUUAGGGAUUUCUAGGAGACUCAAAAACAAUCACAGGAUGUCUGGAAGGUGUGUUUUAUCAUUACUAUAUAAUUAUCUGGUGUUUUCUCUGAUUCUCUUUUUCAGUUAUUUAUUUUUAAAAAUAAAUUAAAAUAUUCUUAAAGAA